RNAcentral lists this ribosomal RNA (722 nucleotides) under Pedobacter alluvionis. RNAcentral's name for it is "bacterial SSU rRNA". It matches the Rfam family "Bacterial small subunit ribosomal RNA", at positions 18 to 738 of the family's 1533-position model. The record is from RNAcentral. Lineage: Bacteria; Pseudomonadati; Bacteroidota; Sphingobacteriia; Sphingobacteriales; Sphingobacteriaceae.
CCUGGCUCAGGAUGAACGCUAGCGGCAGGCCUAAUACAUGCAAGUCGAACGAUAUCAUCCAGCUUGCUGGAUGAGAAAGUGGCGCACGGGUGCGUAACGCGUAUGCAACCUACCUUAAUCAGGGGGAUAGCCCGGAGAAAUCCGGAUUAAUACCGCAUAAAAUCACAGUCCCACCUGGGACAAUGAUCAAACAUUUAUGGGAUUGAGAUGGGCAUGCGUGUCAUUAGCUAGUUGGCGGGGUAACGGCCCACCAAGGCGACGAUGACUAGGGGAUCUGAGAGGAUGGCCCCCCACACUGGUACUGAGACACGGACCAGACUCCUACGGGAGGCAGCAGUAAGGAAUAUUGGUCAAUGGAGGCAACUCUGAACCAGCCAUGCCGCGUGCAGGAAGACUGCCCUAUGGGUUGUAAACUGCUUUUAUCCGGGAAUAAACCUCUUUACGUGUAAAGAGCUGAAUGUACCGGAAGAAUAAGGAUCGGCUAACUCCGUGCCAGCAGCCGCGGUAAUACGGAGGAUCCAAGCGUUAUCCGGAUUUAUUGGGUUUAAAGGGUGCGUAGGCGGCCUGUUAAGUCAGGGGUGAAAGACGGUAGCUCAACUAUCGCAGUGCCCUUGAUACUGAUGGGCUUGAAUGGACUAGAGGUAGGCGGAAUGAGACAAGUAGCGGUGAAAUGCAUAGAUAUGUCUCAGAACACCGAUUGCGAAGGCAGCUUACUAGGUCUU